AGUGUAUCUCAACCACUUACGAAACAGAGAGCCUUUGUGGAGAUGCAAUAUCCAAACAUGCAAUCGAAGAAGGAUGGCUUCGCCAUAAGCGUCGUUUUAUACCUUCAAAAAAUGUGAUAACUGUGAUGAUUAUCUUGUAAAACCCUCGUGUUGGCAUGUAUCGUCUAAUAAAAGACCUUAUCGAGUAAGUUUUAAUUCGUUUGUAGUUGUCGUAAAAUGUUUUUUUCUAUGUAAUAUUACAUCGCUUACGUAUAUGUAUACAGAAGUGCUAACAUGUAAGCAGUAAAUUCAUACGUUUUUCUUAGAUUUCUUUUAGAACAAUGUGUAAUGGUUUGACCUUACGAAUCGAACGGGAAUAAAUAAAAAUAUAUAUUUACAAAAGCUUAA
Long non-coding RNA from Xenia sp. Carnegie-2017, 387 nucleotides. RefSeq lists it as uncharacterized. The transcript has 2 exons. NCBI's taxonomy places the organism in Eukaryota, Metazoa, Cnidaria, Anthozoa, Malacalcyonacea, Xeniidae. The record is from RefSeq and is a predicted model, not a curated record.